GGUGAAAAAGGAACCGGCAAAACAACCGGAAAGAAGCUGUGGUACAAAGGCACUACAUUCCAUCGUGUGGUUAAAAACUUCAUGAUUCAGGGUGGGGACUUCAGUGAAGGUAAUGGAAAAGGAGGUGAAUCUAUUUAUGGUGGCUAUUUUAAAGAGAAUGUGGUCUUUUGCAAAAUGAAAAGGUAAGAGACAAAAGCUCAGUAACACAAAUUCAAACUCUGUUCCCUUGUACCCUCCCUAGUAAAUAUAUAGACAACUGAUACGUCCGUUUGUAGAUGGAUAUCUGUGUUGCUUGGAGAAAUGAAGAGUUCUGUGUCUAACCUUUCUGAGGGUUAAUGACUUAUUCUGAGAAAGAAUACUGGCAUAAUUUCCAGCUCUGAACAGUUAUUUCUUCUUUUGUUAAUGUCCCUUUCCUCCCCUUCCCUAUUCAAGGUUUGUAUGUUUAGUGUUCGUUUCUAAAAGUGUUUGACUUUGUUUUUAAGCUACACGAGUUAUUUCACUUGCAAAGAAUUUGUAAAUAAAUGUACAUUUACCUCUCUUUAAAAUCUGUUGGUGGAAGGAAAAUGGUGAGUUUAUAAAGUAUUUGUUUAAAGACCUACAAUUCUUUCUUGUAAACAAACAGGUAGAUACUGUGGUAUUCAAGUGUUAAUAAAGGCACUGUAUGUAUUUAUGUAACAGCCCCUGUUGUGUAUGUUUUGCAAGUAGCUCUGCCUGGUUAAGUGCAUGCCAUUAAGUUUGUCUUAAACAGAGACGUAGUUUGGUGUUGGAGUAUUACAGCCUUUAGUCAAAAGAAAGUCUUGAAUAGAUCCAUUUGCUAAGAAGUUACUAGGGCUUGUUUCUAGAGGCGGUGAGUGCUAAACGUGCAGCAUUGUGUUGUGAGAUGUAAACUUAAAAUAACGGCUUUGUACACUCAAAUUGCUGUUUUUAGCUUUGAAAAUGAACUUGAGAAGAUCUGGUUUUAUAUUAUGCUGUACAACCAGAAGUCCUCUUUAAUUUACUGGAAUACAAAAUGCAUGUUUAGUUUCAUCCUCAUUGAUUUUAUACUUAGGUUGCAGGAGGAAU
Molecule: long non-coding RNA, 1062 nt
Organism: Egretta garzetta (little egret)
Lineage: Eukaryota; Metazoa; Chordata; Aves; Pelecaniformes; Ardeidae
Exons: 3
Source: RefSeq, a predicted model, not a curated record